AGUGAACGCUGGCGGUAGGCCUAACACAUGCAAGUCGAACGGCAGCACAGUAAGAGCUUGCUCUUACGGGUGGCGAGUGGCGGACGGGUGAGGAAUACAUCGGAAUCUACUUUUUCGUGGGGGAUAACGUAGGGAAACUUACGCUAAUACCGCAUACGACCUACGGGUGAAAGCAGGGGAUCUUCGGACCUUGCGCGAUUGAAUGAGCCGAUGUCGGAUUAGCUAGUUGGCGGGGUAAAGGCCCACCAAGGCGACGAUCCGUAGCUGGUCUGAGAGGAUGAUCAGCCACACUGGAACUGAGACACGGUCCAGACUCCUACGGGAGGCAGCAGUGGGGAAUAUUGGACAAUGGGCGCAAGCCUGAUCCAGCCAUACCGCGUGGGUGAAGAAGGCCUUCGGGUUGUAAAGCCCUUUCGUUGGGAAAGAAAAGCAGCAGGUUAAUACCCCGCUGUUCUGACGGUACCCAAAGAAUAAGCACCGGCUAACUUCGUGC
This 493-nucleotide ribosomal RNA is filed under the name uncultured bacterium. Its description in RNAcentral is "partial 16S ribosomal RNA". It matches the Rfam family "Bacterial small subunit ribosomal RNA", at positions 29 to 508 of the family's 1533-position model. The record is from RNAcentral.